This 484-nucleotide ribosomal RNA is filed under the name uncultured bacterium. Its description in RNAcentral is "partial 16S ribosomal RNA". It matches the Rfam family "Bacterial small subunit ribosomal RNA", at positions 29 to 523 of the family's 1533-position model. The record is from RNAcentral.
AGUGAACGCUGGCGGCGUGCUUAACACAUGCAAGUCGAACGAGAACGGGUUAUAGCUUGCUAUAAUUGUCAGCUAAGUGGCGCACGGGUGAGUAAUGUAUAGGUAAUAUGCCUCUUACUAAGGGAUAACAAAUGGAAACGUUUGAUACUACCUUAUACUCCUUAUUAACAGAAGUUAAUAAGGGAAAGAUUUAUUGGUAAGAGAUUAGCCUGUAUUGUAUCAGUUAGUUGGUGAGGUAAUGGCUUACCAAGACUAUGAAACAUAACUGGUUUGAGAGGAUGAUCAGUCACACUGGAACUGAGACACGGUCCAGACUCCUACGGGAGGCAGCAGUGGGGAAUAUUGCACAAUGGACGAAAGUCUGAUGCAGCAACGCCGCGUGGAGGAUGACACAUUUCGGUGCGUAAACUCCUUUUAUAUGAGAAGAUAAUGACGGUAUUAUAUGAAUAAGCACCGGCUAACUCCGUGCCAGCAGCCGCAGUAA